Molecule: ribosomal RNA, 253 nt
Filed under: uncultured bacterium
Lineage: Bacteria
Description: partial 16S ribosomal RNA
Rfam family: Bacterial small subunit ribosomal RNA
Source: RNAcentral
UACAGAGGGGGCUAGCGUUGUUCGGAAUUACUGGGCGUAAAGGGCGCGUAGGUGGCCUGUUAAGUCGAACGUGAAAUCCCCGGGCUCAACCCGGGAACUGCGUCCGAUACUGGCUGGCUUGAAUCCGGGAGAGGGAUGCGGAAUUCCAGGUGUAGCGGUGAAAUGCGUAGAUAUCUGGAGGAACACCGGUGGCGAAGGCGACAUCCUGGACCGGUAUUGACACUGAGGAGCGAAAGCCAGGGGAGCAAACGGG